ACUGAUUUAUGUCACAAAUUGACAUAAAAAGUAUCAAUUAAUAUCUAAAUUAUCUAACUUUAUUAGGAAAUUGAUACUUGUUAUUAUAUUUUGCAGAAGAAGAGGGCAUCAACCCAUUAACAAGAUAAGGUGGGGAUUUCAUUACCCUUCCUUAGCCCAAAAACCAUCUCCAUCAUAUUGCAUUACCUAGACCUUUAAUCUUAAAAUCAAUUAGACGUCAACCUUAAGAAAUUUGAGCUCAAUAGGACAAGGAACCCUAAGAGUUCUACCAAGUUUGAGUUGUUUGAUUAGUUGGUGUCUAGGCAAGUCCCUGAGGGUGGUUUGUUAAAUUGGUUCAGUUGUUGGCCUCGCCAACUCGUUUGGUGUCUAGAAAGGCAACGAUGAGUGAACCUCCCACCUCUUAUACUUACCUGGCUAACUAAUUGAUCAAUCUCUACUUGGAAGGCUUGAAGGGUCA
Molecule: long non-coding RNA, 457 nt
Filed under: Elaeis guineensis (African oil palm)
Lineage: Eukaryota; Viridiplantae; Streptophyta; Magnoliopsida; Arecales; Arecaceae
Description: long non-coding RNA (EGUI_LNC052716)
Source: RNAcentral